This is a long non-coding RNA of Oryzias melastigma (Indian medaka), 244 nucleotides long. RefSeq lists it as uncharacterized. NCBI's taxonomy places the organism in Eukaryota, Metazoa, Chordata, Actinopteri, Beloniformes, Adrianichthyidae. The record is from RefSeq and is a predicted model, not a curated record. The transcript has 2 exons.
CUUGACUCUUUUCAAAGAUAGUUUAAAAAGAAAAACUAAGUAUGAACACUUAUGCUAAGUUUGGCCCAUUCAUAUUUGAAAAACAUGUUGCAUACUUACAGGUAGACUUGCCAUCGGAUCAACAUUUAUUGGUGGUAGCCAGGUUGGACAGACGUACAGGUCUACAGUGUAGACAUCCUUUCCCUGAUCAAACAGCACAGUACACAUUUUCAAUAAAGAAAGUUAAUAAAAAAAUAAAAGAAAA